AUAGCCCACGCCUUCUGCCGUGACCUCGGGCCCCCAGACCUGAAUCGUCUAAAAUUUUUCUCGCACAUCCAAUUAGGUCAAAGGAACCAUAGUCACCGCCCGGCCACGAUAAAAUUACAUUUUUCGGAUGUUUACGGCCAUAAAAUUUGAAAUCCGCGCGAGUCCCAAUUUUUCGUGUGCUAUAGUCCACGCCUUCUGCCGUGACCUCGGGCCCCCGGACCUGAAUCGUCUAAUAUUUUUCUCGCACAUCCAAUUCGGCCAAAGGAACCAUAGUCA
Molecule: long non-coding RNA, 276 nt
Filed under: Nicotiana benthamiana
Lineage: Eukaryota; Viridiplantae; Streptophyta; Magnoliopsida; Solanales; Solanaceae
Description: long non-coding RNA (NBEN_LNC001568)
Source: RNAcentral